RNAcentral lists this long non-coding RNA (266 nucleotides) under Elaeis guineensis (African oil palm). RNAcentral's name for it is "long non-coding RNA (EGUI_LNC061834)". The record is from RNAcentral. Lineage: Eukaryota; Viridiplantae; Streptophyta; Magnoliopsida; Arecales; Arecaceae.
UUCCUCCCCUUUUCUCUUCUUUUGGGCGUUCUACACGCCCUUCCCUUGGGACGCAUGUCCCAAGGAGUCCCAUGCCCAAAGGAGUUUGGGUACCUCUUCCUUGCUAGUUUCUAGCAUCUGAUAGUAGCACAUAACAAGAAAAAACUCUAGAGAAGAGGAGAAAAAGAAGAUCAAGGAGAAAGAUCAAGUAUCGAUCGCGAUCCAGACUUCAUUCAGAUUUAGCAGGCUGAAUUUUUGAGAUUCAAAAUUCAGAUUAUAGAGGGCUG